RNAcentral lists this ribosomal RNA (339 nucleotides) under Triticum aestivum (bread wheat). RNAcentral's name for it is "partial small subunit ribosomal RNA". Lineage: Eukaryota; Viridiplantae; Streptophyta; Magnoliopsida; Poales; Poaceae. The record is from RNAcentral.
AUGAAAAUGCAGCUCGGGGUGGACAUGAAUUGCAAUUGGGUGCCGACGCUCACAAUCGCGAGUCUUGUGGCAGACAUGCAAUUGCAGUCGACAUGGCCCGCAUGCAGUUGCAACUCAGGGAAUGGGCAUGCAACUGGCACCAAAAAAUGCAUCCUUGUCGUCACUCCGCCGGCGGCGGCACACAAGACAAGCUAUAACCCAUAUGAAAAUGCAGCCAGGGAUGGACAUGAAUUGCAGUCGGGUGCCGACACUUGCAAUUGCGAGUCUAGUGACAAACAUGCAAUUGCAGUCGACAUGGCCCGCAUGCAAUUGCAACUUAGUGAAUGGGCAUGCAACUGA